CGCAACCCUAACGCGAACCGAAGGUCUCCGCAGUCUCUUCCCCUUCCUUUUUCUCUUCUCCUUGGCUCCUAAUCGAGGUCCCUCUGCACUCUUACUCUGGGGCCUUUGCUAGACCUCGCUCCCUCAGUCUCUCUGCUCCGUCGCCACAGAGGUUGAUUUCGGCCACCAUAAGCCUUAUCUUCUGAUUUUGCCCAAUCCAAGUUGCGACCAUCAAAGCUAUUUCCACCCACACGGGAUUGCAUGUUCUUUGGAUUUGAGAUUGUGUGGAUGUACUGUUGGUAUUCAAAGCCAUUGUAUUUUGCUAAGAGAUUGGUAGCACCAGGGUACAAUCAAGGUCUGAAGGGUUUUUUGCCAAAUGACAUUUCCAAACUUCAUAAUCUGCAAAUCCUUUGAGUUUCUUCUCCUACAAUAAUUGUUGAAAGAGUAGGGUCUUUUGCUUGGGCACAUAAAAGCUGGAGAGUCAGAGAGGAGUUUACACGCAGCUACAAUUAAUCUAUUUGCAGCUACUGAGCUUCCACUUCAACAAGCUAUCCUCCCCCCUGUUUUGCAAUUGCGUAAUGAUCCAAAUCCUGCUGUUAGGGAAGCAGCUAUUUUGUGCAUUGAGGCAAUUCUAACUCGUUCUUUUACUGAGAAAGACUAUAAGAAAAUAACAGUAGCUACAACAAGGACACUCCAAAUGAUCAAGAAAGCCAAAGAGCUAGCAAUCCUCUGCACUGCACAAGUUGGCCUUGUCAUAUUCUCCUGCACGAGAAAGCUUUAUGAAUAUGCCAGCACCAGCUUUACAAAGAGGCCUAUUGAAGGAAAUGCAACAAUGAAUUAGGAUUUAAGAAGCUGACUUCACAUAUUGGAAUAUAGUAAAGCGCUGCAUAAUGCGCCUUACUUGUGUAAAAAAGAUGGGAUUGUUCUUCACUGCCUGCAUGUAAGUUCUCUAAAUUAAAGGACUAGUGUUUUGGAGUUUCGUUUCUCCUUCUAUAUUGUUCAUUGUCAAUGGUGUUCUUUUCCCAUUCACGACUUCCUUCAGCACAAUCCUAUUGUAGAUGUAACUUUCUUAUGCACCUAAAUGCUUUUUAUUCAUCUGACCAAAAUACUUGUGUUGUUGGUUAGCUUGAGUACGUUGGAUUAUUAUCUCAACUUGAAAACAUC
This is a long non-coding RNA of Glycine soja, 1143 nucleotides long. RefSeq lists it as uncharacterized. The record is from RefSeq and is a predicted model, not a curated record. The transcript has 7 exons. Lineage: Eukaryota; Viridiplantae; Streptophyta; Magnoliopsida; Fabales; Fabaceae.